Molecule: unclassified non-coding RNA, 197 nt
Filed under: uncultured Hirsutella
Lineage: Eukaryota; Fungi; Ascomycota; Sordariomycetes; Hypocreales; Ophiocordycipitaceae
Description: sequence contains ITS2
Source: RNAcentral
CGACCCUCGAGCGCCCCCGCCGUCGCGGGGGACGCCCGGCGUUGGGGGAACGGCGCGCGCCCACGGGCGCGGCCGCCCCCCGAAAUACAGUGGCGACCCCGCCGCGCCUCCCACUGCGUAGUAGCGACCCCCAGGGGAAACCUCGCACCGGGAGCGCGGAGGCCGCGGUCACGCCGUAAAACGCCCAACCCUUCUGA